Molecule: ribosomal RNA, 460 nt
Filed under: uncultured Geobacillus sp.
Lineage: Bacteria; Bacillati; Bacillota; Bacilli; Caryophanales; Anoxybacillaceae
Description: bacterial SSU rRNA
Rfam family: Bacterial small subunit ribosomal RNA
Source: RNAcentral
CCCGCGACAAGCGAUGGAGCAUGUGGUUUAAUUCGAAGCAACGCGAAGAACCUUACCAGGUCUUGACAUCCCGAUGCUAUUCUAGAGAUAGAAAGUUACUUCGGUACAUCGGUGACAGGUGGUGCAUGGUUGUCGUCAGCUCGUGUCGUGAGAUGUUGGGUUAAGUCCCGCAACGAGCGCAACCCUCGCCUCUAGUUGCCAGCAUUCGGUUGGGCACUCUAGAGGGACUGCCGGCGACAAGUCGGAGGAAGUGGGGAUGACGUCAAAUCAUCAUGCCCCUUAUGACCUGGGCUACACACGUGCUACAAUGGGCGGUACAAAGGGCUGCGAACCCGCGAGGGGGAGCGAAUCCCAAAAAGCCGCUCUCAGUUCGGAUUGCAGGCUGCAACUCGCCUGCAUGAAGCCGGAAUCGCUAGUAAUCGCGGAUCAGCAUGCCGCGGUGAAUACGUUCCCGGGCCUU